Molecule: transfer RNA, 74 nt
Filed under: Treponema sp.
Lineage: Bacteria; Pseudomonadati; Spirochaetota; Spirochaetia; Treponematales; Treponemataceae
Description: tRNA-Arg
Rfam family: tRNA
About the family: Transfer RNA (tRNA) molecules are approximately 80 nucleotides in length. Their secondary structure includes four short double-helical elements and three loops (D, anti-codon, and T loops).
Source: RNAcentral
GCGUUUGUAGCUCAGCUGGAUAGAGCGUCGGACUUCGAAUCCGCAGGUCACACGUUCGAAUCGUGUCAGACGCA